CUUAACACAUGCAAGUCGAGGGGUAACAGGGAAGCUUGCUUCCGCUGACGACCGGCGCACGGGUGAGUAACGCGUAUGCAAUCUACCUUUAACUGAGAGAUAGCCCAGAGAAAUUUGGAUUAAUACCUCAUAACAUUAUUGAAUGGCAUCAUUUAAUAAUUAAAACUUCGGUGGUUAAAGAUGAGCAUGCGUCCUAUUAGCUUGUUGGUAAGGUAACGGCUUACCAAGGCAACGAUAGGUAGGGGGCCUGAAAGGGUGAUCCCCCACACUGGUACUGAGACACGGACCAGACUCCUACGGGAGGCAGCAGUGAGGGAUAUUGCGCAAUGGAGGAAACUCUGACGCAGCCAUGCCGCGUGCAGGAUGACGGCCCUACGGGUUGUAAACUGCUUUUAUAUAGGAAGAAACCCCGAUACGUGUAUCGGCUUGACGGUACUAUAUGAAUAAGGACCGGCUAACUCCGUGCCAGCAGCCGCGGUAAUACGGAGGGUCCAAGCGUUAUCCGGAUUUAUUAGGUUUAAAGGGUCCGCAGGCGGAACUUUAAGUCAGUGGUGAAAGCCUACAGCUCAACUGUAGAACUGCCAUUGAAACUGAAGUUCUUGAGUGUGGUUGAAGUGGGCGGAAU
This 625-nucleotide ribosomal RNA is filed under the name uncultured Bacteroidota bacterium. RNAcentral describes it as "bacterial SSU rRNA". It matches the Rfam family "Bacterial small subunit ribosomal RNA", at positions 47 to 667 of the family's 1533-position model. The record is from RNAcentral. Lineage: Bacteria; Pseudomonadati; Bacteroidota.